This 453-nucleotide ribosomal RNA is filed under the name uncultured bacterium. RNAcentral's name for it is "partial 16S ribosomal RNA". It matches the Rfam family "Bacterial small subunit ribosomal RNA", at positions 29 to 507 of the family's 1533-position model. The record is from RNAcentral.
AUGAACGCUGACAGAAUGCUUAACACAUGCAAGUCAACUUGAACUUCGGUUUGGGUGGCGGACGGGUGAGUAACGCGUAAAGAACUUGCCUCACAGCUAGGGACAACAUUUGGAAACGAAUGCUAAUACCUGAUAUUAUGAUUUUAGGGCAUCCUAGAAUUAUGAAAGCUAUAUGCGCUGUGAGAGAGCUUUGCGUCCCAUUAGCUAGUUGGAGAGGUAACGGCUCACCGAGGCGAUGAUGGGUAGCCGGCCUGAGAGGGUGAACGGCCACAAGGGGACUGAGACACGGCCCUUACUCCUACGGGAGGCAGCAGUGGGGAAUAUUGGACAAUGGACCAAGAGUCUGAUCCAGCAAUUCUGUGUGCACGAUGAAGUUUUUCGGAAUGUAAAGUGCUUUCAGUUGGGAAGAAAAAAAUGACGGUACCAACAGAAGAAGUGACGGCUAAAUACGUG